Long non-coding RNA from Monodelphis domestica (gray short-tailed opossum), 620 nucleotides. RefSeq lists it as uncharacterized. Lineage: Eukaryota; Metazoa; Chordata; Mammalia; Didelphimorphia; Didelphidae. The record is from RefSeq and is a predicted model, not a curated record.
UAUGACCUCAUGGAUUAUUACAUAAUCCAGGGAACAAAAGUCAUCUGAAAUAGACCUACCACAAGUUAGAAUAGAAAUGCUAUGAGAUCAGAUGAGAGAACUAUCUUUAAAAGGAGGAAGGUGUUCAGAGAAGAGUCAUCAAAAUUCAGGAGCAAAAUCAAAAGUCAAGAUGAUGGAGAAUGGCCCAGGAUGCAGUGGAUGGCCUUAGCUUCUUCCACAUCUGAAGCAUUCAAGUUCUGAACACUCCACAGAACCUACUUACGCAUCCUUCAUGGUUAUUGGAACAAAUUGCUUUCAUCCACCCCUUCCUCCAGGGGAAAUCUUCACGUGCCUGGGCUAGACCUUCUUUCAGAGAUGGGUAUUUGGGGAAGACCCAUGAUGUGAGCACUUGCUGAGCCCCUUUCAGGACUGCUUUCCUUCUUUGGUGUCCAUCUGCCAACCAGUUUUCCAAGCUGUAGCAUGUCUUAGAAGUAGUGUUAAACCAGGUUGAGGGGAACCAAUAGGCCUUAAACCCAUCAAUCAGUUAGAAGGGGUGUCUACAUGGAAAAGCAGGGAACAGUCAAGAACAGAGCCUGCCUUGUCACACCCCACUAAAUACCUCUCUCUGAGUUUAUGCUGAA